Molecule: non-coding RNA, 1465 nt
Organism: Peromyscus maniculatus bairdii (prairie deer mouse)
Lineage: Eukaryota; Metazoa; Chordata; Mammalia; Rodentia; Cricetidae
Source: RefSeq, a predicted model, not a curated record
CUUCGUUAUCUCGAAAUUGUAGCACGAGUUCCGAAAUGCUAUCCAUGGAGUGUUCUGCACAGGAGACGGACACUUAGCGCUGUCUGAUGGUUUGACCUCCUUUUCAGUCUCAUCUAGAAAAGGAGUUAAUGGUCAUAAGAACUGUUGGUGGAAACCAGAAAGCUAAGAUGGAGUGAGGACCACUGUUUGCCCCGGAUAUGAUGGAGACAGCAUGGCACACUAGAAAGAGCAGGAACCUGGCUGUGAACAGUAGUCCAAUCCCGUACGAGCUUUUGAUUUGUGAGCCUGGCCCUCCAAAUUUCCAGACCCCCAUCUGUGACGUGGCUGUAACACAAGACUAGUCAAGUGUGAAUGCUCAUUUCCUGAGUCUCAGCUCAAGCCUGGGCAGCGCACACUGCUGUUUUCACACUGGUCUCUGGGGCAAAGCAGCUUCCUUUACAGUACGCGUAUCAACCCGGAAGCCUCUAAAUACUUGUCUGUAGCUCUUGACAGGGCCUGACCACCCGCUUGUCUCGAGAAUGGCUUUAUGUGGUUGACACGGGAGUUUCAGCAAUAGCUAUGAAGCUUCCCCUUGGUGCCACCAGGCGCUAGGUUUUAAUGACCAAUGCUGGCCCAACUGCACGAUAGGGCAAAGCAUUUCUGAGGCCCAGGGGAAGGUCACACACAGAUUCCUUAUUUCAGAAACAGUCAAAUGCUACCAAAUGCUACCAAAUGCUUCAUUAUUUUGGUACUGCUAGGGGUUAAAUCUAGGGCCUCCUGGCUGCUAGCAAAGACUCUAUCAGUUAAUUCCUAUGCCACUGUGGGGCUUUAAACUUGCCCCUGGGGAGGCAUUUUACCUAUACUCUGGCCUACACUGUCCCGAAUUCUUCCCCUCUGCCCCCAGCCCCUGCCAAUGGCCUUUGAAGUUUCCUUCUACCACAGAUUGCACUCCCUACCCACAAUGAACGUGAAAUCUCCUGAUCAAGACUAUAAAUACCUAAACUUUCUAACAUCUAAACUUUGAUUGAUCUUAAUUUGAACUUGGCUUUUCCAAGCUAACAAUCUGUUUUAGCUGCACAAGGGAAGCCUGUUCAUUUGUUUUUGUCCUUAGAUACCAAAGGACUGUAAGUGGAGGGCUGUGGGUAUUACCUCCUUUGAUGUCCCUUCACUUAGAGCAAACUUCCAGGAUCCAUGUCUCUCUCUGACAACUUACAUGACGACUCAUUCUUCCUGCUCCCUCCUGAUAUUCACUACAGUGUGGUGUGACCCUGCUGUGACCCUGCCGUGACCCAGCUCUGGAUUUCAUUUAACCCAGAAUUGCUAUACUUGAGAUACAGUGGACAUGCUUUAUUUCAGGUCCACAUCAUUUCCUUUAUACAUGCACAUGAAAACAACUGUCCCCACAGCUCCAGGCUCCAUGCUGCUGCUGUUCUCACUACUUCCCUGGUGUCAUGACACUUGAAUAAAAGUCUUAUAUUAUUUCUAU